RNAcentral lists this ribosomal RNA (670 nucleotides) under uncultured methanogenic archaeon. RNAcentral describes it as "bacterial SSU rRNA". It matches the Rfam family "Archaeal small subunit ribosomal RNA", at positions 186 to 860 of the family's 1478-position model. The record is from RNAcentral. Lineage: Archaea; Methanobacteriati; Methanobacteriota.
UGAACACAUUCCGACGCCUUAGGAUGGAUCUGCGGCCGAUUAGGUUGUUGUCGGGUAAUGGCCCAACAAGCCAGUGAUCGGUACGGGUUGUGGGAGCAAGAGCCCGGAGUUGGAUUCUGAGACACGAAUCCAGGCCCUACGGGGCGCAGCAGGCGCGAAAACUUUACAAUGCGGGCAACCGUGAUAAGGGAACCUCGAGUGCCUGUAUAUGCAGGCUGUCCAGGUGUCUAAAACACACCUGAAGAAAGGGCCGGGCAAGACCGGUGCCAGCCGCCGCGGUAAUACCGGCGGCUCGAGUGGUGGCCACUUUUAUUGGGCUUAAAGCGUUCGUAGCUGGGUUGUUAAGUCUUUGGUGAAAUCCCACAGCUUAACUGUGGGAAUUGCUGGGGAUACUAUCAGGCUUGAGGCCGGGAGAGGUUAGCGGUACUCCCAGGGUAGGGGUGAAAUCCUAUAAUCCUGGGAGGACCACCUGUGGCGAAGGCGGCUAACUGGAACGAACCUGACGGUGAGUAACGAAAGCCAGGGGCGCGAACCGGAUUAGAUACCCGGGUAGUCCUGGGCCGUAAACGAUGUGGACUUGGUGUUGGGAUGGCUUCGAGCUGCUCCAGUGCCGAAGGGAAGCUGUUAAGUCCAUCGCCUGGGAAGUACGGUCGCAAGACUGAAACUUAAG